RNAcentral lists this unclassified non-coding RNA (382 nucleotides) under soil metagenome. Its description in RNAcentral is "partial contains 5.8S ribosomal RNA, internal transcribed spacer 2, and large subunit ribosomal RNA". The stretch from base 1 to 120 matches the Rfam family "5.8S ribosomal RNA", at positions 35 to 154 of the family's 154-position model. The record is from RNAcentral.
GAUGAAGAACGUAGCGAAAUGCGAUAAGUAAUGUGAAUUGCAGAAUUCAGUGAAUCAUCGAAUCUUUGAACGCACCUUGCACCCUUUGGCAUUCCGAAGGGUAUGCUCGUUUGAGUGUCAUUGUACUCUCACACUCCCAAUUGCUUUGGAUUGGGAGCGGUGGACUUGGGUGUUGCUGCUUGACUGAGGCUCACCUGAAAUAUGUUAGUGCACCUCUUGAUUGGACAUAGUACGGCGUGAUAAGUGUCUUCGCCGGCUCCUCGCAAAGAGGGUGGCCGAUCGGGAGCUCUGUUGCUUCAAACUGUCUUCGGACAAUCUUCUGGCGACUUGACCUCAAAUCGAGUAGGACUACCCGCUGAACUUAAGCAUAUCAAGCGGAGGA